Ostrea edulis (European flat oyster) is the source of this 12308-nucleotide long non-coding RNA. RefSeq lists it as uncharacterized. The record is from RefSeq and is a predicted model, not a curated record. NCBI's taxonomy places the organism in Eukaryota, Metazoa, Mollusca, Bivalvia, Ostreida, Ostreidae. The transcript has 6 exons.
UAUUGACAUUCACUAUGACGAUGAAUGUGUUUACAGUACUGAAGGAGUAGGAUGGUGUUAUGGCCAUUACAAAUUCGUUCUUUACUGUUACUGUCAUGGACAACCUAAACUUAAUGCGAGACGAUGAAUACAGAUUUGGUUUUAGAAGAUUGCAGACCUUUACAAAGUUGAGAAUGUCAUGGUAUUUGAAUUUCAAAAUAAAUUAGGUUUAACCACUUUUAUUUCUCUUUCUUACUUUGGAUAAUUGAAGAAAGCUUGUUUCAGAAAAUAUGUUUAAGCAAAUAAAAUACAGUCAAGAAAUAAAUAACACAGGUUUCAUUAAAGAAACAAAGGGAACAAGUAUGAAUCCCGUUUUAUAAAAGAUAGUCACAAUUUUCGCUAUACAAAUGAAGACAGUCAGGAACCAAUUCCAAAAGAUAAGGAUCCCUGCAUAGCACCAGUAUGCAAAUUAUAAAGACGGAACAAAAUAUUGAACUGAAUUUGUUAAAUGGAUUAGAAAUUUCUGAAAUUUAAAUAGUUUUUUCAUGUUGUUUAUAAUUAUCUUUAUCAAAAAAUUAUGUAUACAUAUAUAGGAUACAUAUGGGCUUGGACAAAGGUUUUGACAAAUUCCAAAUUAAAAUGGAACAUAAACAAAUAAGGAGAGUGUUGUUUCAUUGAGAUGGAAUUAUAAUGUUUCAUUCCCUAAUUAGUAUCAUAGAUCUGCUAUAACUAAAAAUUGUGGUUGACAAAAAUUGGAAUAUAAGAAUGAAAACAGAUAGGGAAAAGUUAUUUUUUCCUUUUUAUUUGGUAAUAGAUCAACAGGACGAUGAUAAAGUAUGCGGUGGUAUUCAAUACUCAUAUUUUCUGAAGUCAUUAGCACACUCACGUAUUGCUGAAAGCUAAUACCUUCUAAGUAUUGCAUAACAAUACUUGUAUAUAUUAGAUUAUCAAAUGAAAUGAAGAACUGGGAAGGAAUUCGAAACCAAAACAUGUAUCUUAUUAGUAAACUUUGACAAUAAUUCCCUAUUUUCCAUUGGACAAAAAUACGGUUAUCUACAAUGCAUUGCGCAUGCCUGAAUACAUCUGCGUCUUUUAAAAGAUUACUACAAUAAUUUCAAUUAGAACAAUACAAGAUGGGAAACGAACACAGCAAUUUAACAGAAAAAUCAAUCCUCUCACCACAAACUAUGGAUGAAGAAAUUCAUCACGAUCCUAAUUGUAAAUGUAAACGCCGAAGAUUGCAACACAAGGGAAAAUAUUACUAUGUGUAUUACAGAAAAUGUGUAUGUAAACAAUUUCACGAUAGAUCAGAUUGUUUCCAGAAGAAUCUGCAAGAUUCCGAUCUACCAAAUGGCAAUAUAAACAAAGAUGGAGUCGAUAUUCACGAGAACGCAGACUGUAACUACACGUACGCUAAGCGGCAGGGAGACAAGACACAGUUUCGUUUACAUUGUACCUGCAAAACUGUAAGCAGCAGAAAUAUGACACGCUGAAAUAGAGCCGGAAAAUAUAUGUACUACAAAAAGACAGGGAAAUGUGUUCCUAUUCUAAUGAAUAAAAUGAAUGUUAAAAAGACUCAAUGUUUUUUUCUUACUCUCUAACGUGGAAGGCGCCUACGUUAUCUGUUCUACAUUAAACAGGGUCAUGCUUUUAACCAACUUUAUCAGCUUGUAGUGAUUAACUAAAGAUCUUGCUUUGACUUGGCAGUUGAGCGUAUUCAAUAUUUAACGAAGAUGAAAAUUAAAAUCUAGUACAAUUACAAUUUAUUUACCUUUGAAAAAAUCAUGGAAAAUUUUUAAGUAUAGACUAAUUAAUCUUUUCAUAAUAUUCAAUGAGGUUUAGCCUUGCCGAGUUCCUUUGAAUGCUCUAGAAAGCAAGCAUGUGCAAUGCUAUACACUAUAUUAUACUCCCUAUAUAAGAGUAUCAGUCACUUUAUGUAAAAUACAAUAUCAUUUAACCCAUUCAAUUGAAGUAUGUCGGCCGACCAAAGCAAUUACUCACGUGAUGAAGUAGAUAGUGCUAGUAUAACAACAAUGAACGACGAAGAGUACAUGAAAAAAGAUUGUAAAGCAUUAAGGCGUCAGUUGAAACAAAAACAAGCCACUAGCUUUGUUUUUUACCGUUUAUGCUUUUGUGGAAAACACACGGAUAGAUCAAGAGAGUUUUAUGAAAUAGAUGAUGAUGAAGAUAUGCCCGAAUACGCCUCAUUGGAUGGAGUAGAAGUACAUGGUCAUGAAGAAUGCCAGUACACGACUGUAAAACAACUACCCGGACCGAAAUAUAUUUUUAAACUGGAUGAUUACUGCACUAGAUACUCGCAGAAAACAACGACAAGAUAAAUGUUCAUACAGUUCGAAUUUUGGGAAAAUGUUAUCAAAUUCGUUUGAUGAUUUCAAAUAACAACUUUUAAUUUCAUACAUGAACAAGAAAUCAAAUUACUUUAUUAACUAUAUUGACCGGUGUAGAUUAAUAUUUAAAUGUGAGCUGAUGAACCUAUAUGACUAUAGCUACCCGGAUUUGUUUUGAUAUUACAAAUCAUCAGUGAUUUUUUUUUACGAGAAUUGUACAAUACAGUUUUUGAUAAAGAGAGAAACGUUGCUGGACUUUCCUUUCUUCAUUGUGAAUCAUUGAAAUUACUAUAUAUCGAAACAACAGUUUUUGGGUCCAUGAAAAUUCGAAUUUUAAAAUGUAAAAGAAAAUUGAAUUAUGUUCACUUCCAAAAUAAAUCACGUGCCAUAUACCAUUUCCGGCAAUGAAGGUAAUUUGGAGACCAUGACAUAAAGAGUGAACCAUAUUUCGGUAAAUAUGUUUUUGAAAAAUGUAUGUCUUUCUGAAUACACAGAGGGUAAUUUUGGCCCAAAAGGUUUACAUCCUUGACGUAGAGUGCCAAAAGCUUCAACGUUGAAUGCAUAGGUUUUGAAACCGUUCGAAAGAGGAAAUGAUAUUUUUUUUCUAAUUUGCCCAGCAGCAUGUAUUUGUGUUUAAAAAAAAUUAAAUAAUCGCAUAACAUAUACAGUGAUUUCGAUUCACUGACAAUUUGAAUUUCGUAUUAUCAUAAUUGACAAAUAAAAUGUUCCCAAAACUUCCUUUGUAUUUUUAAAGAGAACAUUUCUCUCGUCAGCUAGCUGUGUACACGCAUUUAGAUGUAUACAGAUUUUUAAACAGUUUUGUAUCACAGAGUGCAUUGAAACACUCUAUUGAUUAAAACCUUACGCACAUAGAUAAUUUCUCAUGUGUACAGAGGUUAUCAGUAGAGUGUGAUUUUCCCAAAUACAUGAACAAAUACAAUGUGAAAAAAAAGAAGAUUUAUAUAAGUAACGUCGUCAUUACAUUUUUAUACAUAUUCUACAACAUCAGAAAUUACUCAAGUGUUUGUAAAUAUCAAUGUAAAAUUCACAAUGAUGUUCUCUUUGAUGUCCAUUAUUGCGAUUUCUUGAAUAAAAUUAUGACAACAAAAGAAUUUAAUACAAGGAUUCAAUUAUGCACUAUACAGGUCUAGUACAAUGAAUUACUGUCAACACUGCUUAUUAUUUUAAAAUUAGAUUUUACUCUUAACAAUAUACAUCUGCACAUUUAAAAAUCCUAGCGCUCUUGGAAAUAUCCCCGAAGUGGGAUUUAAAGUACAAAUUGUAUAGGUGUAUACUGUUUCGAUUUUAAAAAUAUAUUACAAAUAAUAUCUAUAUUUCUGCUGCUCUCCUUUGAAUGGGUAAAACUGAACAACGAAUUGUAGGUUAGCAAACAUACGGUAAGAAACACAAAUGAAUCCCAAAAUAAAUGCUGGAAUUUUGUGAGUUUAUUUUAGACAGUGGCUACGCUAAAAAUAGCGUGGGAAUUUGUGAGUACAUUAAUUGAAGACAAUAUGACUUUUCUCUAAGCCAAUCAAAUGCACGAAGAACAAUCUAGAAUGCACUGUAAUCCGUUUGCGCAAGGCAAAUUACGUCAUAUUUACCCAUUAAAAUGGCAUCCCAUAUGAUAAAUACUCCUUUCAAAGGUAUUAAUACUUAAAACUAUCUUCAAAAUCUGACCAUAGAAGACGCAGAGAUCACAUACCACUCGCUGACCACCGUGCACUAUGAAUAACGAUACUAGUAAUAUUUCGGACGAAGUUUUCUUUAGCUCACUGAGCAAACGAAUGCAAGGCGAAAUUCAUUUCGAUGAUGAAUGCAAAGUCAUUACACGAUAUGGUGAACUUAAUGAACACGGAAGAAUAGUAGUAGUGUUCAUCCGGAAAUGCAAAUGUGGCAAAUAUCCAAAUAAAGAAACUUUGAUAUUCGGAACUGAGGAGAGAUUAAUUCUACCCAAAGACGGAGUGGACGUACAUAAAGAUGAAUCAUGUGAAUACGUUCCCGAGAAGUAUUUUGACAAAUCAAUACACAGACAUGUUUACCGGUUUCAGUUGACAUGUUAUUGUGCCUCUAGAUCAAAGCAAAAAAGGAUUUUAGAGUACAACUAAAAAAGAAAAGAAGCAUUCAACUAGAAACACCUUGAACACAAUAGGACCUGCUAAAUGAGAUAGUAGGAAGUCAGACCAAGUUGAAUAUUGAUUGUAUAUCGGAUAAACGUAAAAGGACAUUGCAGGAUAAUUGAGACGAAUUACAUUUCUCUGUAGUGAACAAUCAUCAUGCUGCAACAUAACAGGAAGAAAAAGAAAAAAGUAUUUUGAUAUCCGUCAACAAAAGACUGUGUUAUAUACCAAAUCAUAAUGAGCCAAAUAAAUGUUACAAAGAGUGAUAUAUUGUUUAAUUAAGGUAAACAUCAUGCCUUAUGCAAACUUAUGUAUUCUGUACAUGUAUUUAUGUAGAAAGUGGAUGCAUUCGUUUUUCUAAAUCCUAUUUGAAAGUUUUACAUGCAUAUACUAGUAAUCAUUUCUUUUGUCAUGUGAUCUUACUUUUUUGUAGAUGCUUUGAAUGUUUAUGAUAUACAUAUUAUUGAAAUUAUAUUUGAUAGAAUGAGGAACUCAGUAUUAGGUUUCCUUCAUCUUUUUUUAAAAAUAUCAAUUACCAUUGGACCAUAUACUCUAUUUCAAUAGUAUAUUGCAAAUUGUUACAAUACAUAAGCAUGGUAUAUUAGAAUGAAUUGCAUUUUCACUUGAUAUAAUAUUUUUUGUAUAUUGUAUCAGUCUUCUCUUUUUCAUAACCAUAUUAUUAAUGGAUAUUUAUGAUGCGCCCAAAUUGUUUGUUUCCCGUUUCAUGACAUUUUGAAUUCUUAAUAAAGGACACCCCUAUCAUUUAUAUUGCUUUAUUCUUAUUGAUAUAAGAUGUGUCCAAGUCGGAGUUGAAGUAACAAUUGCAGAAAAUGUUUUGGAAAAACUUCAAACAUUGAAAUGCAUGUAACAAACUUGAAUUUUCUAGAAGAAGAAAUUAUAGAUCAUUUGGCACCACUCCACUACAGUUAAAAGAUAAAAAAAACUUAUUUUUAGUAUUUUCUUUUCAAACCAACAUUCUCUAGACAGGAUAUUGAUAUUUUGCAUUUAAUGUACAGUUAAGUUCAAAUGUAUUUUGAUGAAAUAAAUUAUGUACCUGAACAUGAAAUAUUUAACAGAAAGUCACCACUAUCACUACCGUCAUGUGAUUUUAAAUCCUAUCGCAAGAUGGAAUAAAGCGCUCGAUAGAACAAUAUAAAUAACAAUGAGCUAACAUCCGUAAAGGUUCUGCUGUAUUUUCAAAAGAACAAAGAAUCAUUAAAUGGUUUGGGGUUUAACUCACUAAAUGAAUAGUCUAGAACUUAAAAGUAACAAGAAGUAGAGAGUAGUUACUUAAUUUCCAAUUCAUGGAAAGAAUUAUGGAAGUCACGCAAAUAACUGCGCAUGCGUAUUCUUUGUAAGCUAUACUAUAAAACGGAUGAACAUAAAGCAAUUGUGGUUGUUGUUUGUCAUCAUUGCCUUAGCAUCAACAGUAAAAAAAAAUAUUAGCAUGUCUGUUGAUGUUGUCAAGAUUCUAGACGAUUCUCGAAUACUUGUAGAAAACGUGCAUUACGAUGAGAGAUGCAAAAUAAAGGAACUUAUAUUGACAUUAGAUAAUGGGGAAGAGAGUAAGGUAUUUUAUGAAAUAUGCAAAUGUCCAAGACGUUUACCGAAUAGAUCAUCGGAAUACAAUGAAGCCGUAAGAGAGGGAGUGUUCCCGGAGCAUCACAAGUCAAUACGUGGAAUAGAAAAACAUGGGCUUCAUUGUACAUCACGAGUCAGAAUUAAUAUGGAAAUGGGAACUAGAGUGUUUAUAUCAAGAAAAGUGUGUUCAUGUGGAAACGCGGUGGGAAACUUCAGUAGAUGAAGUGGAAAAUACUACUAUUAUUUUGAACACUCUGAAAUACAUUCAUUCAUUUCUAGUGUUAUACAUCAAAAGGAUAUAUUUCAUCUAUCGAAAUGGACAAUGUAAGGAUUUAAUUGACAGUUGUACGAGUAUGUACGUAUGUUUGCAUUAUAGACCAACUUUAAAUGUAUAUGUGGAUUUGAAGUUUAGUAAACGUUACUAAUUUUCUUUUAUUCUUAAUGUUAUUUUUGGUGUGUUUUAAAAGAUCGAAUUUACAAGCAACCCACUGCAUGAGGGAAGUGUUCUUUACUUAGAUAACAUAUGAUACCUAUAAUCUAUAUUAAUUGGAAAUACUCCAAAUGUCAAGUCCAGACAUACACAUUUUUUUUUACAAACAUUGCGCUUCAACAAAGGCUAUACACAUUUACCGUGAAUGCGUGCGUUUAAUUCCAAAAUAUUUCACCUAGAUUACAACAGGUAGAUCAUUUUCCUUCCUCUAAAGUAUUUUGACGACUUCUUGAAAUAAGUCAUACGUAAUAAGUCUCACUCGUCACGGUACACUAUCUUUAAGGAAACUCGUUGAAAAUAAUUCAUGAUGGGACCCGUGCCUCGAUUGUGGAUUUUGAAUAUAUAUAAUUAGAAAUACGUGAACAAUCUAUAGAUUAAAAUAUGAUACCUCCAUACUCUGGGAAUUUUGCACACGUCACUGUUGUGAGUGAGGUUAUGUCUAUUUUAAGAAAAGAAAAUUAUAUAAUAAAUGAUAAUGCUAUAUAAGUUUUGUUACAUCAUACUUAUUCUUGAAAUGAUUGCAAGUUAUAAAAAGCCUUGGGAAAGUCUACCUAAGUAGUAUAAAAGACAAACUGAUAGGAAUAUUGUAUCAUUGUUUCAACUAUCAAAAUGAGCUGGAACGAUAUCACAGAACAAGACUUGGUAGAGGGAAGUGAAGGAGUUGAGGGAGAAGAGCACUAUAGCCCAGAAUGUCAACCAUUGAUGGAAAAUGGAAUUUAUAGAAAAGGUUCCAGAGCUAUUGGCAACAUCACUGUCUACUUCAGAAAUUGUAAUUGUGAAAAGUAUGAUAGAGCAGAGUGUAAAAGAGUUAUUCAACAAUUUCGUACAUCGAGUAUACCUUUACCUACCCAUGGUGUAGAUAUUCACAGAGACAGUCAAUGUUCCUAUGCUAUCCCACGAGAAAGACUAAUUUGGAAAGACAACAAACAACGGACGGUUUACAUUUUCCCUCUCCACUGUGUAUGCAAAACACGACCAAGAACAUCAAUGGUCUAUCGUUAAACACAGUAGGUUUGGAUAAAAGGAACGUGUUUAAAGAAGAAUAAAGAAGAGAUUAAAUAAUAUCAGAUAGGUUUGCCACCAUUCGGACUUUCCAUUUCAUGGACAAAAGAACAUGAGUCGUGUAGAAUUCUCUCAGCAACACCACCACCACCACCACCGCCAACAACAACAACAACAACAACAAUGUUCCCCCAAUUGUCAAAAGUGUUUAAAAUCAUAACUGUAGUAAAAUGUGGUUGCAUUUCUUCGUGCAGGUUGUAUAUUUAUAUUUGUGUACAAAUCAUUAGCAUUUAUGCUGAACUUGUUUCAUACUUACAUAUCAUUCAUUUGAAAAUCAAUUACCCAGUGUAAUGUUGCACAUUGAAUUCAUUGGUGUUUGAAUAAAGUAUAUGUCGUGAUGGAAUUGUCGUAAAUAUAUUUGAGCAGUGCUUAGCGUCUUUAAACAAGAAAGAUUCUCUUCAUAUAUCAGGUCACAUGGCAGUAAUUCGGGUUAAUCUAACUUUAACGGUAUCUGAACAUUUCAGUUAUAAUUUAAGGUAAAUAUAUUAAAGUAAGGUUUACAAAGGGAUAUAUCUACAAAAUAAGGCGUGAAUAGUUUUUUCUUAACUAAAUAUGUUAUAGCUAGGUCACUUACUGUUUUUCCUUUCUUUUUAAACUAGUUUUUAUAGUAUGAAAUGUGAGGAUAACGAACGGUGGUCAAUUUAUUAAUCACAUGAAGAAUACAAAAUUUAGAGGAGAACAAGCACGGAUCCUAGGAACACAAAAAGCCCACGUGAUACAUAUUGACUAAAAGGUGUAGUAUCAACAAACAGUGAUCAAUCUCAUAACUCCUAUAAGGAAUACAAAAUAGAGAGUUGGCAAACACGAAUUCCGUGAUGUACCAGAAGUGGGAUGAGGUGCAAAGAGGAAUAAGCAUCCCCUGUCGACCCAUCACACACACCAUAAACCUUAUAUAUUGAUCAGGUAAAGGAGUAAUCGAUAGUCAGAAUUAGAGUGCCGAGAACGAUUGGUAUAAAACACGUCAUACAGCAUUUGAUCCGAUGAUAAGUUGUAUUGAAAAACUAGAUAGUUAUAAUGAUCAUAGAUUUGGCAAAAUGCUGACAUCAAACGAGACUGAUGAAACCCCUGUAUCUUCAACUUGUUUGUCAGUAGCCUGCUUCUAUCUAAAAAUUCAUUAUACGCAGAACAAGCUCUUGUGUAUUGAAUCAGUUGAAAUAUAUACACACCAUUUGCAGGUGAUAAUGGAAUAUUGCUACAUAAAUAUUGGAAAUUAACGACGGAGAAGCUGAAAUCAUCCAGUUUGUCAUAAAGUUGAGUUGUUAGUUUGCUGUUAAUAUGUUCAACAUCAUCUCUCUUAGACUUGGCUUAAAGUAUUUGCUUCAAUGUUCCCCCAAAUGAAAUAUAAAUUAUGUUCAAAUGAUUGGUCAAGAGGAUGAAAAAACAACAUUUUAAUAUAAGUGCGCUUAAUGAUGGAAAUUUUGCAAUAUUACAAUGUGUUCAGAAUAUGAAAACAUUGCACAUAUAUAGGACAAUCUCACCAUCACGUUGGACUUUGAUGUGUCUUGUUAACUAAAGAGCACUGGGUAUCGCAUAUGCAUUAGAGGAGACUGUAUUUAGUGUAAUUCAUUUGUUUGCUAGACUUCGUUACUCAAACUACUGAUAUCAAUGAAUGAAAAGUAAAUUCUCCUCAUACAAAGUUCACCUUAAAUGUGAACUUGUCCUCCUUGAUUAAAGGGGCAUAGACACGAUUUUUGAUCGAUUGAAAUUGAUCGCCUUUUGUUAUAGAAAUUAAAAUCUAUCAUAAAAAAGUGGAUUGAAAUAUUUUUAAGCAAGAUACACAUUGUUUACAUAAAAACUGGCUCACAAAAUCGUGCUUGUAAACAUGAGUGAGACAAAUGCAUGCGAGAGAAAUUUCAUAGGACUGUAAAUUUGACCGGAAGUGAUAAAAUCAAGAUUUUAAAACGUAUGUCAAAAGCAUUCAACAAUUCGACAUGGGUUAAUAUCAAUUUGUGUGCAUGUACCUAAAAUUGAGGUAAAUGCUUCGUUCUAAAAACAAUUUCACCACAAUAAUUAACUUUGACGCCAUGUUGAUAGUUGAGUCACUUAAUAUGUAAAUAUAGAUAUAAAGAAGGCUCGUGUCUUCUUCUUUUUUAAAAAUGCAAAAGUUUAGAUGAAAAGGUUACGACACAAACAGUGAUCAAUCUCAGAACUCUCAUAGAGGAUAUAAAUUUGAGGAGCGCAACCACGCACCCUUGGACAUUCUAGAGAUGGGAUCAGGUGCCUAGGAGGAGUAAUCAUCCCUUGUUAUCCUCUGUUAACCGGUCACACCCGCCGUGAGCUCUAUAUCUUGAUUAGGUAAACGGAGUAAUCCGUAGUCAAAAUCAGAGGGCAAAGAAUAGACUGAAUUGGCAUGAAACAUGUCAGACAGUAUUUUAAGUAAUGUUGGUGAAUCAUAUCGUUUUAACAACCAUAAAAUUUGCGAAAUUCUGACGUUAAACGAGACGGUUGAAACCACAGUAACAUCAACUUAUUUAUCAGUACCUUGCAUGGAUUUAAAAACUGACCAUACUAAGAACAAGCUAUUUCGUAUCAAAUCAGUUGACAGACAUAAACACCAUAUGCAGGUGUCCUAAUAUUCUAUGAAAGCCUAAUCUGGUACCCGUCCACAAAACAGAAUGACGGGUAUAUGGACCAGAUUAAUGAAAACCGCUAUUGGAUAUUGCUACAUAAAUAUGGUAUUUGACGCCAGAGAAACUGAAAUCAUUAUGCUUGUCAUAACGUUGAGUCUCAAAUACAUCUUUUAGAAAUUAAAGUUUGUUGCUAUGUGCUACACGUUUAAAAAACUAUAAGUUUUUUUUAAUCAAUUGAUUAUCUAAAAAUAUGCCAAAACCGUGUCCAUGACCCUUUAAGUUGUCGGAAAAGUCAAGUUAUUGAUAUUUAUGAUGACAUGUUGACAAAGGUAGGACAGAUUAAAAGCAAUUCCAGAAAUAGACAACGGAAUUUGUAGUCUAUUUAAAACAAUCAGAAAUAUCACUGGGAUUUUAUGAAUAUACCGACUGUAUUUUUGGAAAUCUAUACAAGGUGUCUAGCCAAUCAAACUCUAUAUUGCAUUCAAGGUUGUCUGCACAAUAACAAGUUCAUCAUCGUAUUUUAAUAGAUUGUUUUAUGAAAUACAGAUGGACUGUUAUAAACGUUAUAAACUUGUGUCUUAUAUUCCAUGUUUUGAAACUUGUGAAAAUAUUCUAAACCUGAUUGAUAGAAUAUACCCACUCUCAAUUUUAAUCAUUGAAUGUUGUUCAUUUUCUUUAUCUAUACACUAUUUUACGUGUUUGAGCAUACCAAGCACAACCCAAAUAUCAUAGAAAAUAUUGCAUAUAGUAUAUAAAAAAUAUAUCUUGGGGACAAAAUACUUUAGUAACUAUCCAUUACUUAAAAACUGUGAAAUGAUAUCAACGCACCACAUAUAGAUCGACCAAAAGAUCAACCUACUUUUCUCCUUCCAAAUCAGCAGUAGGUUAUCCAAUCAAAUUGAAGGAUAUUCACCAUAUGAUAGUUUGCAUUGAGUAUUUAACCAUGAAGUAAAUCCUGAUAUGAAAUAUUUGACAGACUACACUGCCUUCAUGUAAAUUUAAUUCCUAUCACACGAUGAUUUUUACUUCAAUACAUUGAAAAAUCAAAGUACAAGCAUGUUAUAUCAAAAUACUUUUAAGAAAGCAAUACACAAUCAUGCUUUACUCUGUUUAUUCAUGCCCGAGAGAACAAGAUGAAAGGUGAAGAUAACGAACAGUGAUCAAUCUCAUAACUCCUACAAGUAUGUGUCAAAAUCCGUAAAUUCUUUGCUGUACUUUCAAACUAACAAAGGCUUCUUGGACGUCACUAUAUCAAAUGUUUAGAAUUCUAACUCACCAAAUGAAUAGUUUAAAACUUAAAGCAGCAAAAAGUACAAAGUAUUUCCUUAUUUUUCAAUUUAUGUAAACUCCUGGAAGUCAAACAAACAACUGAAUACUGUGUAUGCGUAUUCUACACAAGCUAUGCUAUAAAGCUAGUGAACAUGAAACAAUUGCGGUCGGUUUUUGUUGGGUUUUUUUUGCCAUCUCAGAGUAGCAUCAACAAUAAGAUUUGAACAUGUCUUUUGACUUUGGCGAUCAUCUAACAGACGCUGGGGAACCUGUAGUACUUGAGGAAGAGCAUUACGAUGGGAAAUGCCGAAUAAAAGAAUUAAUACUGAAAGUAUCAGGGGGUGAGAAGUUGCGAGUAUUUUUCGAAAUAUGCAAAUGUCGAAGAUGUUUACCGAAUAGAUCGUUGGAAAUACAAAGAAGGCUAGAGACGAGAAGUGUUACCAGAACAUCACAAGUCACUGCCUGGAAUAAAGAUACACGGACGGUAUUGUAAUUUUCAAGUCAGUCCGGAAUUCCAAAGAGGAAUUAAAGUGUUUAGAUUAAGGAAAGAGUAACAUGACUUGGUAGAAGGGAGUAAAGGAGUUGAAGAGGAUGAGCACGAUAGCCCACGAUGUCAACCAUUAGUGGAAAAUGGAAUUUAUAGAAAGGCUUCAGAGCUAUUAGCAAGGUCAUUGCCUGCUUCAGAAAUUGUUAUUGUGAAGAGUAUAGUAGAGAAGAGUGUGAUAGAGUUCUACAACAAUUCGUACAUCGGGAAUAUCUGUGCCUACCGAUGGUGUAAAUAUUCAUGGAGACAGUGGAUGUAAAUAUUAUGAUCCACUACCAGAAUUUAUUUUCCGAGACAACAAACAAAUGACAGUUUAUAUUUUCCCUCUCCACUGUAAAUGCAUAAAAC